ACUCAAAGGAAUUGACGGGGGCCCGCACAAGCAGCGGAGCGUGUGGUUUAAUUCGAAGCAACGCGAAGAACCUUACCAAGGCUUGACAUCCCUCGCUAGCCUGGGAAACCAGGUGUUCCCUUCGGGGACGAGGAGACAGGUGGUGCACGGUUGUCGUCAGCUCGUGUCGUGAGAUGUUGGGUUAAGUCCCGCAACGAGCGCAACCCCUGUGCUUAGUUGCCAUCAUUAAGUUGGGCACUCUAAGCAGACUGCCGGUGACAAACCGGAGGAAGGUGGGGAUGACGUCAAAUCAUCAUGCCCCUUAUGUCUUGGGCUACACACGCGCUACAAUGGUCUGUACAAAGGGCGGCAAAGCCGUGAGGCCGAGCGAAUCCCAUAAAGCAGAUCUCAGUUCGGAUUGCAGGCUGCAACUCGCCUGCAUGAAGUAGGAGUUGCUAGUAAUCGCGGAUCAGCACGCCGCGGUGAAUACGUUCCCGGGCCUUGUACACACCGCCCGU
This 497-nucleotide ribosomal RNA is filed under the name uncultured bacterium. RNAcentral's name for it is "bacterial SSU rRNA". It matches the Rfam family "Bacterial small subunit ribosomal RNA", at positions 899 to 1397 of the family's 1533-position model. The record is from RNAcentral.